AGCUACUCAGGAGGCUGAGGCAGGAGGAUCACUUGAGCCCAUGAAUUUUGGAUUGCAGUGAGCUAUGAUUGCACCAAUGCACUCCAGCCUGCUGGAUGACAAAGCAAGAUCCUGUCUCAAAAGGAGAGAGGGAAGGAAGGAAGGGAGGGAGGGAAUCACUGUGGGAAGGAGAAACAAUGGGAGCAGAGGCAAGGGUGGAGGCAGAGAGACUGGAUGGGAGCAGAGGCAAGGGUGGAGGCAGAGAGACUGGUUGUGAGGCCGCUGCAGUUAUCCAGGUGGGGGUUGGUGGUGAGCAGACCAGAGAGCUGGAGGUAGAACAUAGAACAGAUAACAAUUCUGGAGGUAGGAACCACAAGGACUUGGGGGCUCAUUGGCCAAGGGAGAUGAAGGAGGAGAGGCUGAGGAAGGAGGAGCAGAGUGAAGCUGUGUGUUGGGAG
Molecule: long non-coding RNA, 437 nt
Filed under: Homo sapiens (human)
Lineage: Eukaryota; Metazoa; Chordata; Mammalia; Primates; Hominidae
Description: non-protein coding lnc-RAB25-2:1
Source: RNAcentral